AUUGAACGCUGGCGGCAGGCCUAACACAUGUAAGUCGAACGGUAACAGGAAGACGCUUGCUUCUUUGCUGACGAGUGGCGGACGGGUGAGUAAUGUCUGGGAAACUGCCUGAUGGAGGGGGAUAACUACUGGAAACGGUAGCUAAUACCGCAUAAUGUCGCAAGACCAAAGAGGGGGACCUUCGGGCCUCUUGCCAUCGGAUGUGCCCAGAUGGGAUUAGCUAGUAGGUGGGGUAACGGCUCACCUAGGCGACGAUCCCUAGCUGGUCUGAGAGGAUGACCAGCCACACUGGAACUGAGACACGGUCCAGACUCCUACGGGAGGCAGCAGUGGGGAAUAUUGCACAAUGGGCGCAAGCCUGAUGCAGCUAUGCCGCGUGUAUGAAGAAGGCCUUCGGGUUGUAAAGUACUUUCAGCGGGGAGGAAGGGAGUAAAGUUAAUACCUUUGCUCAUUGACGUUACCCGCAGAAGAAGCACCGGCUAACUCCGUG
This 490-nucleotide ribosomal RNA is filed under the name uncultured bacterium. Its description in RNAcentral is "partial 16S ribosomal RNA". It matches the Rfam family "Bacterial small subunit ribosomal RNA", at positions 30 to 507 of the family's 1533-position model. The record is from RNAcentral.